Molecule: unclassified non-coding RNA, 501 nt
Filed under: Hevea brasiliensis (rubber tree)
Lineage: Eukaryota; Viridiplantae; Streptophyta; Magnoliopsida; Malpighiales; Euphorbiaceae
Source: RNAcentral
AAUUAAUAUCUCGAAACAUUUCAUAACUCAUGCACAUUGCAUUUUAAAUCAUUAAUUUACAAUCAUAAGUUAAUUUACAAAUGCAAAAUCUCAAAAAUAAUAUUAUUACAAUUUUAUCUGUACAACUGCUCAAAUUACAGAGAUACAUAUGCAUACUAUCAUAUUUACAUCAAACUAAACUACUAGGGUAUAGACAAUACCCGUAUAGAAAUUCUUCAACCGUGCUCCUCUCUGACUGUAGCAGCUCACUAUGCUAUGUCAUUUUCUCUAUCUGCGACAGCAAGUUAAAGCUAUCGCUGAGUAUAUAAAUGCUCAGUGGUGCACAAUAAAGAAUAAAAUAUAUAAUAUAAGACAUUUAUGAACAAAUCAUCAUUCAAAAAUCUCAUAAUCGCAUUUCACAAUUUCUUUCUCAAAUUGCAUUUAUAACAAAUCAUAAUUUCAAGCUUAAUAUAGCACAACUUGAUCAAACAAUUUAAUAAACAUAGUGUUGCCAAACAAUAA